Molecule: ribosomal RNA, 223 nt
Filed under: uncultured Streptococcaceae bacterium
Lineage: Bacteria; Bacillati; Bacillota; Bacilli; Lactobacillales; Streptococcaceae
Description: partial 16S ribosomal RNA
Rfam family: Bacterial small subunit ribosomal RNA
Source: RNAcentral
CGUAGGUAACCUGCCUUGUAGCGGGGGAUAACUAUUGGAAACGAUAGCUAAUACCGCAUAAGAGUAGAUGUUGCAUGACAUUUGCUUAAAAGGUGCAAUUGCAUCACUACCAGAUGGACCUGCGUUGUAUUAGCUAGUUGGUGGGGUAACGGCUCACCAAGGCGACGAUACAUAGCCGACCUGAGAGGGUGAUCGGCCACACUUGGACUGAGACACGGCCCAG